Molecule: long non-coding RNA, 263 nt
Organism: Talpa occidentalis (Iberian mole)
Lineage: Eukaryota; Metazoa; Chordata; Mammalia; Eulipotyphla; Talpidae
Exons: 3
Source: RefSeq, a predicted model, not a curated record
UGGCGGCUAUAAUCCUUCUACAGCCCCCUGGACAGUGUAUGUAAGGGUCUUGACUGCUCAGUUCCCUAAGGUCAAGGGGAGCUUGGCCAAUUCUUUUGACCACUGGGUUCCUCACAAUAAAGAAUGGAAGGAGAGGAGAAAUAUGGAUAUAAAAGAAUGUUUAGAAUUCUCAGGAUUCUAAGCAAGGACAACCCGAGAUACAGAGGUAAGGGACCCACUGAGGCCACAGGACCUCGGCGGCAGAGCGGGGCCCGAAGCCAGGA